GUUAGUCGGGUCCUAAGCUGAGGCCGACAGGCGUAGGCGAUGGAUAACAGGUUGAUAUUCCUGUACCACCUAUAAUCGUUUUAAUCGAUGGGGGGACGCAGUAGGAUAGGCGAAGCGUGCGAUUGGAUUGCACGUCUAAGCAGUAAGGCUGAGUAUUAGGCAAAUCCGGUACUCAUUAAGGCUGAGCUGUGAUGGGGAGAAGACAUUGUGUCUUCGAGUCGUUGAUUUCACACUGCCGAGAAAAGCCUCUAGAUAGAAAAUAGGUGCCCGUACCGCAAACCGACACAGGUAGUCAAGAUGAGAAUUCUAAGGUGAGCGAGCGAACUCUCGUUAAGGAACUCGGCAAAAUGACCCCGUAACUUCGGGAGAAGGGGUGCUCUUUAGGGUUAACGCCCAGAAGAGCCGCAGUGAAUAGGCCCAAGCGACUGUUUAUCAAAAACACAGGUCUCUGCUAAACCGUAAGGUGAUGUAUAGGGGCUGACGCCUGCCCGGUGCUGGAAGGUUAAGAGGAGUGGUUAGCUUCUGCGAAGCUACGAAUCGAAGCCCCAGUAAACGGCGGCCGUAACUAUAACGGUCCUAAGGUAGCGAAAUUCCUUGUCGGGUAAGUUCCGACCCGCACGAAAGGCGUAACGAUUUGGGCACUGUCUCAACGAGAGACUCGGUGAAAUCAUAGUACCUGUGAAGAUGCAGGUUACCCGCGACAGGACGGAAAGACCCCGUGGAGCUUUACUGUAGCCUGAUAUUGAAAUUCGGCACAGCUUGUACAGGAUAGGUAGGAGCCUUUGAAACGUGAGCGCUAGCUUACGUGGAGGCGCUGGUGGGAUACUACCCUAGCUGUGUUGGCUUUCUAACCCGCACCACUUAUCGUGGUGGGAGACAGUGUCAGGCGGGCAGUUUGACUGGGGCGGUCGCCUCCUAAAAGGUAACGGAGGCGCUCAAAGGUUCCCUCAGAAUGGUUGGAAAUCAUUCAUAGAGUGUAAAGGCAUAAGGGAGCUUGACUGCGAGACCUACAAGUCGAGCAGGGUCGAAAGACGGACUUAGUGAUCCGGUGGUUCCGCAUGGAAGGGCCAUCGCUCAACGGAUAAAAGCUACCCCGGGGAUAACAGGCUUAUCUCCCCCAAGAGUUCACAUCGACGGGGAGGUUUGGCACCUCGAUGUCGGCUCAUCGCAUCCUGGGGCUGUAGUCGGUCCCAAGGGUUGGGCUGUUCGCCCAUUAAAGCGGUACGCGAGCUGGGUUCAGAACGUCGUGAGACAGUUCGGUCCCUAUCCGUCGUGGGCGUAGGAAAUUUGAGAGGAGCUGUCCUUAGUACGAGAGGACCGGGAUGGACAUACCUCUGGUGUACCAGUUGUCGUGCCAACGGCAUAGCUGGGUAGCUAUGUGUGGACGGGAUAAGUGCUGAAAGCAUCUAAGCAUGAAGCCCCCCUCAAGAUGAGAUUUCCCAACUUCGGUUAUAAGAUCCCUCAAAGAUGAUGAGGUUAAUAGGUUCGAGGUGGAAGCAUGGUGACAUGUGGAGCUGACGAAUACUAA
Molecule: ribosomal RNA, 1528 nt
Filed under: Staphylococcus aureus
Lineage: Bacteria; Bacillati; Bacillota; Bacilli; Caryophanales; Staphylococcaceae
Description: partial 23S ribosomal RNA
Rfam family: Bacterial large subunit ribosomal RNA
Source: RNAcentral